This 392-nucleotide long non-coding RNA is filed under the name Homo sapiens (human). RNAcentral's name for it is "PREDICTED lncRNA (TCONS_00272334)". The record is from RNAcentral. Lineage: Eukaryota; Metazoa; Chordata; Mammalia; Primates; Hominidae.
CGGUAGAAAUCUUCAAUGGUGGGGUCAUAUUUCUCAAUGAAAGUCCCAGUGACAAACUGCACAACUGAUGAGCUUCUCUGUGCAAGGGUGCCUUUUUGGAGCAAUGUCCCCAUUCGGUCCAUUGAUAUGAACCACUUCAUUGAAUGUCUUAGACGGAAAGAAGACUGAAUAAUGAUUGGAAGAACGCCGGAGUCAUCAAGCUCUUUUGAUAACUGCAUAUGUGAACUAGGUCAAGUCACUCUCCCUCAACGGAUCACCAGUUUACCCAACUGUAAAUGGCAACAAUUUUGAACUGAACGUUCUUCCUUCUACAGCCAAAAUUCUUCGUUUGCUAGGUAGGCAAGCACUGAGAAAAGUCAUCAAGUAUCAGAAGUUACACCUAAGAAAUUGAU